UCCCUCAGUUCACAUAGACCAGGCUUCCUCUUUAGAGGCAUAAGCUGUAAAACAGGAGAGUCUGUUUUAAGAGGAUCUGUUUGAAGUUUAAUGUAACUGAAGUCCAUGCACCUGAAGCCAUUAAUUGAUAUAAGUGAAGUAAGUCUUUGGGUUUCCGGUAGCUCUGACUCAGAUUCUGCUUGCCUCUUCUCCAUGAGAUUACCAAGGCAUCAGGGCAGAGACUCCCUGAGGAUGAGUGGAUCUGGUUCAGAACAUCUGUGAACACAGAGGGAGUGGAAACUUCACUUUCAACAUCAUCAGCCAACUUCCCUCCCAUUACAAUUCUAUCUCAAGAUCAAGGUCAUGCAACAAAACCAGCAGAGCCGUUAUGCUACUUCUGUUGGAAGGAUUGGCUAUUUUAGUCAACGUGAGCUGCGCUGACAAAAACGUGCCUAGAACAUCCUCUGGUGGCGACAGUGGGAAUCAUCAGUUUUUGACAUAACUGAAGGUUCCUUGUUCAGCCCCAUUCCGCAGGAAUGACACUUACCAAGGAAACAGUCCCAUGACUGAACACACGCAGCGACUGAGAAACAGCCUGCUUUGAAGACUUUACCGCAACCCUGCCACAUAUUUUGGGCAUUCUGCUGCGAAAGUUCUUAAUACGGGAUGGCACCAUCUCGCCACAAGACUUGCUUCCCACUCUUUUCUACCACUGGUGUAAAUCUGGAAGUGAAAAGUAAAGAGAACUUACAAAUCA
Molecule: long non-coding RNA, 736 nt
Filed under: Homo sapiens (human)
Lineage: Eukaryota; Metazoa; Chordata; Mammalia; Primates; Hominidae
Description: novel transcript
Source: RNAcentral